CGCAGUGAGAGCAAUCGGAUGCUCAAUUGACUCCGGAAAUUUGUGAAACAAACAAUGAAGCAAGAGAGAUGAGCAAAGAAGGCGGCGAAGAACGGCUCAGCAUGAGAAAAC
This is a non-coding RNA of Caenorhabditis elegans, 111 nucleotides long. Lineage: Eukaryota; Metazoa; Nematoda; Chromadorea; Rhabditida; Rhabditidae. The record is from Ensembl.